This is a long non-coding RNA of Leopardus geoffroyi (Geoffroy's cat), 2900 nucleotides long. RefSeq lists it as uncharacterized. The record is from RefSeq and is a predicted model, not a curated record. The transcript is spliced from 3 exons. NCBI's taxonomy places the organism in Eukaryota, Metazoa, Chordata, Mammalia, Carnivora, Felidae.
AUUCCUUUUAGGACUCAACCUUAAAAUAAUAUCAUAAAUAAGGACAGAGAUUGUUUAGUAUGUCUGGAACACACUAUGAUCAACAGCACAUAUAUUAACUACAAAACAUACAUCUAGGCAAUAGCAUUUUACAGAGUCAUCAAAAAUUAUGUUUUUUGAUAUUAUGCAAAACAACGUUAAGUAACAUAUAAAUCUGUCAUAUAUGAUAUUUUCUCAAAUGACUUAUUUAAAAAAUAAAACGGGGAUAAAAUGUUAAUAGUGAUCUUCCUAGAUUAACACAGUGGAAGAUGGUUUUAGUGCUUUUUUUAAACCUUUUUUCUUUAUUUGCCCAUUUCAAAAGAUAACGAGAACAAAUUAUUCUUAAGAUCAGAAAUAAAAUUCCUUGAAAAAUCAUAACAAAACAAAGAAAGUUUUUAAAGGCCACGUGAGUCAGAUCUUUAAGAGUCAAGCAGUCUGUUGAAGAUCCGUCGAUCUCAGGAUGUGUGGCCUGACCUUCCCACUCAAAUAUCCAGAACAAGACCAUGAGCAUGAAAGUUGCUUCCACGACUUGGUGAGGCCGAUGAGAGCAGCGGCCCUGAGCAAGGGACCCACCCCCCUGCCUCCCACCCCUCAUUGGAAGCAAUUAGAGAAAAUUAGCUCUCUACACGAGGAAGCCAACUGCAAGCUUCGCCAGCAGGAACCACUGCAGGAUGGAAAGCAUGUCACAAGGCAUGUUGAACCACUUAUGGAAGGCGGAUGGUAAAUCUGGCCUAAUGAAGACUGUAUACACCUCUUCUGUUGGCUCCCAGCCAGUCAACUAGUUUAGUCUGGAUCUAAGAGGAAAACAACACGCUCUUCAUAUUCAGAGUGGGAAGUCCUGAGUAGCUCUAAGUUAAUAGCUUCUUUUGAAACUGACAAAGAGAAAGAGAGAAGGAGAGAGAGGGAGAGAGAGGGAGAGAGAGAGAGAAAGAGAAAACUUACCAUCCAGCCAAAGCCCUGGUCUGACAUUGUGCAGAUUGUACUCUGCCCACCAGGGGCACAAAUACACCAUCGUAAUGGUGCCCGGUGCCCAGUUACAUUCCAUCUCAAACUUUUCAAGACAUUUAAAAUUCCUAUAGCCUUGAUUAUCGUUGAACAGCAUCCAGUUAAAACUCAUGUCAUCCAGUUCCUAGUGCACCAGCCUCUGAGAGUUGGGUAAGUUUUCAGAAAGGGGAGUUGUUCACCUAACUUUCACCUUCAAGCCUCAGAAUAUCCUUACACCAAUACUCAUAAGUACUCUCAUAUCUGAAAGUGAUGACUUAAAUGCUUCUUGGUCUUGUGUAAACGUACUCGUUUUAAACAAAUUUUCUCAUUGUGAUAAAAUACAGAUAACAUAAAAGUUGACAUCUUAACCAUUUUUAAGUGUGAAGCUCAGCAGUAUCAAAAACAUUCACGUCUUUCUGUAACCAUCACCACUAACCAUCCUCAGAACUUUUCUAUCUUCCCAAGCUGAACCGUCAUACACAUUAAACAAUAAUUCUGUGUUCUCCCUCACCGCAGCCCCUGAGAACCAUCAUUUUACUUUCUGUCUCUAUGCAUUUACCUAUCCUAGGCUCCUCAUAGAAGUAGAAUCACACUUUUGUGUCUGGCUUAUUUCACUUAGCAUAAUGUUUUCAAGUUGAACCAAAAUUUUGAGCCAACAAAAUCUCUAAGCUGAUAAGCUGUCACGUAAAAUAAUUCUUCCUUGUUUCUAGUUUCUUGCACUUUCCUUUUCAAAAGUGUCUUUUGACCAGGGCUUCCUUUUGAACAGCCCGAGUCCUGGUAAAUUGGACAGACGCUCUCACAGACUCUUUCCACUGCCAAUGGAAGUAUCAGGCAGAAUUUAGAUAACCACUUGGUGGGGAUAUUGCAGAAGUUUGAAUUAGAUGAGCUUAAAUCUCUCAUUCUACUCUACAACCUGGUGACUUUUACAAAUGCUUUUGUUUGUUCAUUCAUUUAUUCACCAUAGGAAUUUGUCAGCACUUACUGAGUACCUACCGCAUGUAAAUGAUGGCUGUUGAUGCAGUGUGGUGACUGAUGAUAUUGACUUGGCUCCCAACUUCUGCAGCAGAAUCAGGAACUUGGGCACUGCCCUAACAGACUGGCUUUUGCUCUCAAUCAGCUGGCACUGCUGGUUGGGGCUCCUGGAGACAUUUCGACCUGCCAACCAUGACCCAGCCCCAGGCUUCUGUUCUUCCAGUCACCGUCUCACUUCUUUCAGGUGCCUGCUCUAAGGUCACCUCAGUCGGAAGGCUUUCCUGGCCACAGUAGGUAACUGAAUCAUGCAAUCUCAUGGGACAGAACACCUGGAGAGGGAGAAGCUGCCACAAGAGCACGGAGCCUGGGCUUCUUCUGAUCACCUCACACUAUCUAGCUCGGCCGCCUUGUCAGACACCGUGCGACGCUGUCUUCAAACCGCCCAGAGAUGGGCCAAAGGCAAGUAUCUGGCUGUGGGGCAGAUUUUCUUCUCAGCAGAGGAUAAUAAGCCAGAUCAAGCAGAGGAUAUGGGAACAAAGCAUGGGGCUGCCGUUCCCCUUCUGGCACAUGGAAGAAUCAGGCUGUGAGUUUCAUUUACACGAUGUUUCUCUGGAGACAGAAAUGGCCAAAGUUUCCAAAGUGUACGUGAUUUUCUUUUUUCCAGGGAAAGAUUAAUCUUUACUUCUUCUAAAAAGCAACCUGUUUAUACAUUUGCUGGAGGAUGUGCCUGGAAAAAAAUUAAAAUAGGAGAACUUGAUUUGACACAUCUGGAGCAGACGGGCAUGUUUUGUUUGGCUUCCUGAAGAUGUUUAAAUUGGGGUUAAGAUGGGGAAGAUGGUAAAACUGUGUGAAGACUCAGGUGGCUGGGAAAAGACCAGCGUGGAAUGUGAAAAAAGGAGCGGAAUAAAAUGUAGCAGGCUGAAUCA